This 253-nucleotide ribosomal RNA is filed under the name uncultured bacterium. RNAcentral describes it as "partial 16S ribosomal RNA". It matches the Rfam family "Bacterial small subunit ribosomal RNA", at positions 524 to 776 of the family's 1533-position model. The record is from RNAcentral.
UACAGGGGGGGCAAGCGUUGUUCGGAAUUACUGGGCGUAAAGGGCUCGUAGGUGGCCAACUAAGUCAGACGUGAAAUCCCUCGGCUUAACCGGGGAACUGCAUCUGAUACUGGAUGGCUUGAGUUCGGGAGAGGGAUGCGGAAUUCCAGGUGUAGCGGUGAAAUGCGUAGAUAUCUGGAGGAACACCGGUGGCGAAGGCGGCACCCUGGACCGACACUGACGCUGAGGAGCGAAAGCCAGGGGAGCAAACGGG